GACGAACGCUGGCGGCGUGCUUAACACAUGCAAGUCGAGCGGUAAGGCCCUUUCGGGGGUACGACGAGCGGCGAACGGGUGAGUAACACGUGGGUGACCUGCCCUCAGCUCUGGGAUAAGCCUGGGAAACCGGGUCUAAUACUGGAUAUGACUCCAUGACGCAUGUUGUGGGGUGGAAAGCCUUGUGCGGCUGAGGAUGGGCCCGCGGCCUAUCAGCUUGUUGGUGGGGUGAUGGCCUACCAAGGCGACGACGGGUAGCCGGCCUGAGAGGGGCGACCGGCCACACUGGGACUGAGACACGGCCCAGA
This 308-nucleotide ribosomal RNA is filed under the name uncultured bacterium. RNAcentral describes it as "bacterial SSU rRNA". It matches the Rfam family "Bacterial small subunit ribosomal RNA", at positions 28 to 335 of the family's 1533-position model. The record is from RNAcentral.